RNAcentral lists this transfer RNA (44 nucleotides) under Guilleminea densa. RNAcentral's name for it is "partial tRNA-Phe". The record is from RNAcentral. Lineage: Eukaryota; Viridiplantae; Streptophyta; Magnoliopsida; Caryophyllales; Amaranthaceae. RNAcentral also lists the same sequence under 2 other names.
GUCGGGAUAGCUCAGCUGGYAGAGCAGAGGACUGAAAAUCCCUC